This 404-nucleotide transfer-messenger RNA is filed under the name Bacteroidales bacterium. It matches the Rfam family "transfer-messenger RNA". From Rfam's summary of the family: Bacterial tmRNA, also known as 10Sa RNA or SsrA, is named for its dual tRNA and mRNA-like properties. Its role is to liberate the mRNA from a stalled ribosome. Lineage: Bacteria; Pseudomonadati; Bacteroidota; Bacteroidia; Bacteroidales. The record is from RNAcentral.
GGGGCUGACUGGUUUUGACAGCGUGUAAGAGGGGAUGUAAGCAUGCCGGGCGUUGGUGGCGAGGCCCGUUGAUAACCGCUACUAAACAUAUAAACGGCGAAACUAACUACGCUCUUGCUGCAUAAUCGAAGUACAGUAGAUUAUUGCUUUAACCCGGCACCAGGUGCCGGGGCGAGACGUUCUGCAGGCAGUGCCGCCAGACCCUGUCUGAUCACAGAACGCGCGUGAAUACUGGUAUUCUCCCACUCCUUAUCCCGGGGAGUGUGAUGAAUUACAAUCGGGAUUACGGUGUGGCAAGGGUGUCUGUUCCCAUACCAUACCCGACAAUCAAUAACAGAAUAAGCAUGUAGAAAGCCUCCCGGCUGCCCGUUUGGACCCGGGUUCGAAUCCCGGCAGCUCCACAG